RNAcentral lists this ribosomal RNA (379 nucleotides) under uncultured eukaryote. Its description in RNAcentral is "partial 18S ribosomal RNA". It matches the Rfam family "Eukaryotic small subunit ribosomal RNA", at positions 592 to 976 of the family's 1831-position model. The record is from RNAcentral.
CAAUAGCGUAUAUUUAAGUUGUUGCAGUUAAAAAGCUCGUAGUUGGAUUUCGGAUGGGAUUUGCCGGUCCGUCGUUACGAUGUGCACUGGCCAGUCCUAUCUUGUUGUCGGGGACUAGCUCCUUGGAUUCACUUCCUGGGACUAGGAGCUGACGAGGUUACUUUGAGUAAAUUAGAGUGUUCAAAGCAAGCCUACGCUCUGAAUACAUUAGCAUGGAAUAAAACGAUAGGACUCUGGCUUAUCUUGUUGGUCUGUGAGACCAGAGUAAUGAUUAAGAGGGACAGUCGGGGACAUUCGUAUUUCAUUGUCAGAGGUGAAAUUCUUGGAUUUAUGAAAGACGAACUUCUGCGAAAGCAUUUGUCAAGGAUGUUUUCAUUAA